ACUCCUACGGGAGGCAGCAGUGGGGAAUAUUGCACAAUGGGCGCAAGCCUGAUGCAGCCAUGCCGCGUGUGUGAAGAAGGCCUUCGGGUUGUAAAGCACUUUCAGUCGUGAGGAAGGUAGUGUAGUUAAUAGCUGCAUUAUUUGACGUUAGCGACAGAAGAAGCACCGGCUAACUCCGUGCCAGCAGCCGCGGUAAUACGGAGGGUGCGAGCGUUAAUCGGAAUUACUGGGCGUAAAGCGCAUGCAGGUGGUUGUUAAGUCAGAUGUGAAAGCCCGGGGCUCAACCUCGGAAUAGCAUUUGAAACUGGCAGACUAGAGUACUGUAGAGGGGGUUAGAAUUUCAGGUGUAGCGGUGAAAUGCGUAGAGAUCUGAAGGAAUACCGGUGGCGAAGGCGGCCCCUGGACAGAUACUGACACUCAGAUGCGAAAGGCU
This 433-nucleotide ribosomal RNA is filed under the name uncultured bacterium. Its description in RNAcentral is "bacterial SSU rRNA". It matches the Rfam family "Bacterial small subunit ribosomal RNA", at positions 335 to 762 of the family's 1533-position model. The record is from RNAcentral.